GAUGAACGCUGGCGGCGUGCCUAAUACAUGCAAGUCGAGCGAACGGACGAGAAGCUUGCUUUUCUGAUGUUAGCGGCGGACGGGUGAGUAACACGUGGAUAACCUACCUAUAUGACUGGGAUAACUUCGGGAAACCGGAGCUAAUACCGGAUAAUAUUUUGAACCGCAUGGUUCAAAAGUGAAAGACGGUCUUGCUGUCACUUAUAGAUGGAUCCGCGCUGCAUUAGCUAGUUGGUAAGGUAACGGCUUACCAAGGCAACGAUGCAUAGCCGACCUGAGAGGGGGAUCGGCCACAUUGGAACGUAGACACGGACCAUACUCCUACGGGAGGCAGCAGAAGAGAAUCUGCCGCAAUGGUCGAAAGCCUGACGGAGCAACGCCGCGUGAGAUAUGAAGGUCUUCGGAUCGUAAAACUCUGUUAUUAGGGAAGAACAGAUGUGUAAGGAACUGUGCACAUCUUGACGGUACCUAAUCAGAAAGCCACGGCUAACUACGUG
This 497-nucleotide ribosomal RNA is filed under the name uncultured bacterium. RNAcentral's name for it is "partial 16S ribosomal RNA". It matches the Rfam family "Bacterial small subunit ribosomal RNA", at positions 28 to 507 of the family's 1533-position model. The record is from RNAcentral.